CCUUGAAUAAAGGCUUUGCCUUUCAAACUCUGUCCUGCCCAUUUUUCUUUGACAUGUUCAGAUGUUGGCAAGGCUGAAAACUGCAGGGGAUCUGGUUGUGAUAAUCCAGGCCUGAAUAUAUACAAAUAUGAACAAGACCCACAAGGACUGCUCAUCACCCCAGUAUUCCAUUUACAACAUCCUGAAUGAACUCCCGACCAGGCCUAUAAUUCUCUCUUGCAGCCAAAUAUCCUGCUUACUCCUGGUAUCUACCUGGUCAGCAGACCUCAUGAGUUAUCGCCCAGUGACAAAACCAUCCCAAAGAUGCACCAGUCCAGCACAAAGUAUGACUGUCAAUCUCACAAAAGAUGUAGGGUUCUACGAGGAUACUCAGAGUAUAAGAAUUACGCUAAGUGAAAUAAGCCAAGCCCAGAAAGACACAUACUUUAUUAUUUCAUGUAUCUGUGGAAUCUAAAAGAGUCAAAUUCAUGGCAGCAGGGAGAGGGCUGAAGAAGGGGGAGAUGUUGAUCAAAGUUUCUAUGUAUACAAAGACCAAACCAUCACAUUAUGCCUCAUAAAUAUAUACAAUUAUUAUUUGCUAAUUACAAGUAAAGCAAUACAAGAAGAAAAAAAGGAAUCAUAAGUAAAUCCAUGACAAGUGAAAACGCAAUGGAGAGAAGGGAAUCAAUGAUUGAAGAAGAGAAAGG
RNAcentral lists this long non-coding RNA (686 nucleotides) under Homo sapiens (human). RNAcentral describes it as "CDH13 antisense oligodendrocyte and neuron associated lncRNA". Lineage: Eukaryota; Metazoa; Chordata; Mammalia; Primates; Hominidae. The record is from RNAcentral.